This is a non-coding RNA of Stereum hirsutum FP-91666 SS1, 93 nucleotides long. Lineage: Eukaryota; Fungi; Basidiomycota; Agaricomycetes; Russulales; Stereaceae. The record is from the annotation of a RefSeq genome assembly.
CCUCCAGUAGCUCAGCGGAAAGAGCAAAGAGAUACAUAUACUGACCACAAGAGAUGUGACUCUUAGUCGCCGGUUCGACUCCAGCUUGGAGGU